RNAcentral lists this ribosomal RNA (135 nucleotides) under uncultured Arcobacter sp. RNAcentral describes it as "partial 16S ribosomal RNA". It matches the Rfam family "Bacterial small subunit ribosomal RNA", at positions 355 to 507 of the family's 1533-position model. The record is from RNAcentral. Lineage: Bacteria; Pseudomonadati; Campylobacterota; Epsilonproteobacteria; Campylobacterales; Arcobacteraceae.
UGGGGAAUAUUGCACAAUGGGGGGAACCCUGAUGCAGCAACGCCGCGUGGAGGAAGAAGCAUUUCGGUGUGUAAACUCCUUUUAUAUAGGAAGAUAAUGACGGUACUGUAUGAAUAAGCACCGGCUAACUCCGUG